This 494-nucleotide ribosomal RNA is filed under the name uncultured bacterium. Its description in RNAcentral is "partial 16S ribosomal RNA". It matches the Rfam family "Bacterial small subunit ribosomal RNA", at positions 28 to 507 of the family's 1533-position model. The record is from RNAcentral.
GACGAACGCUGGCGGCGUGCCUAAUACAUGCAAGUAGAACGCUGAAGGAGGAGCUUGCUUCUCUGGAUGAGUUGCGAACGGGUGAGUAACGCGUAGGUAACCUGCCUGGUAGCGGGGAUAACUAUUGGAAACGAUAGCUAAUACCGCAUAAGAGUAGAUGUCGCAUGACAUUUGCUUAAAAGGUGCAAUUGCAUCACUACCAGAUGGACCUGCGUUGUAUUAGCUAGUUGGUGAGGUAACGGCUCACCAAGGCAACGAUACAUAGCCGACCUGAGAGGGUGAUCGGCCACACUGGGACUGAGACACGGCCCAGACUCCUACGGGAGGCAGCAGUAGGGAAUCUUCGGCAAUGGACGGAAGUCUGACCGAGCAACGCCGCGUGGGUGAAGAAGGUUUUCGGAUCGUAAAGCUCUGUUGUAAGAGAAGAACGAGUGUGAGAGUGGAAAGUUCACACUGUGACGGUAUCUUACCAGAAAGGGACGGCUAACUACGUG